Molecule: long non-coding RNA, 912 nt
Organism: Drosophila willistoni
Lineage: Eukaryota; Metazoa; Arthropoda; Insecta; Diptera; Drosophilidae
Exons: 2
Source: RefSeq, a predicted model, not a curated record
GCAAAUCACCAGAGCAAGUAACAACAUUAAUAAGUCUCUAAACAAAAUUAAGGACAUUGCUCGAUAUUAAUGAGGUCACCUCUGUGACUGCCUACAAUGGACGGCAUUUUACGGCUGCAUCUAAUGAAGAUACUGUGGACUGGUUGGCGAGAUCUUGGGGCCAUAUGACGACUUAUUUGAACGACUUCAUUGAAUGCCUAUUUCUGUGACGUUCUUGUCGGCCAUUGGGAAUGAAUUUUUCGUGGAAACGUUUAAUCCCUUUCGCGGAUGAGAACGUCACCGUAAUUCGCGUUCAAUGAAGUCGCUCCGGUAAGACGUCAUACGGCCCCCUGGAACAUAUGUUUCGCGCCACCCAAUCCAUCGUACUCUCAUUGGCUGCUGCCAUGAAGAGCCGCCCAUUGUACUCAGUGACCGGGGUGACCUCAUUAAACUCUGGACAGCGAACGUUUCUGAAUCCCCGAAAAAUCCCAAAGAAGUCUAGCAGAUUGCAAGUUUUUGGUACACUCCGAGGAAGAAACUACCACAACAAAGGGCCUGUUCUCUGGGAGUUCAUGUAAGGGAGCGGCUGUCCAUUCCAUUUCAUACUCUGACGGGGCGUAGCCUCGCAUACCGCAUGCCUCCACCACAGACGAGAUGGUCUGCAAGCUCCAGUUACUGGAUUCAAGGUCCUGUCUGAACUUUGAUUCCAAGAAAACCCACUGCUUGAUGCUGCUUCCAAAGGAGGGCUCAAUGCUUGAGCUGAGUUCGGCGCACUUUCAAAACCAACUGAGACCAACUUGGCCGCACAACUUCCAAUGGAACGGAACUGGUCCAACACGAUGUCGCAACCCGAAGAGAUCGUGUUUUAAUCUUAAUUCUAUUGCAGUUUAAGAAAAAGAAUUAAAAGCUUAUUAAAAAAAUAUUUUAAAAAAA